UGAGGAACAUGACCUUCGGCGGGGGAUAGCCGGCCCAACGGCCGGGUAAUACCGCGUACGACCACUCGGGGACAUCCCCAGGUGGUGAAAGCAGCAAUGCGCCGAUGGAGUGCCUCGCGGCCUAUCAGCUAGUUGGUGUGGGUAAUGGCCCACCAAGGCGACGACGGGUAGCCGGCCUGAGAGGGUGACCGGCCACACUGGGACUGAGACGCGGCCCAGACUCCUACGGGAGCAG
RNAcentral lists this ribosomal RNA (235 nucleotides) under uncultured bacterium. RNAcentral's name for it is "partial 16S ribosomal RNA". It matches the Rfam family "Bacterial small subunit ribosomal RNA", at positions 118 to 347 of the family's 1533-position model. The record is from RNAcentral.